CUAUGCCCAAAGAACCUGCCGCCCGGAAGCAACAACUUCCAUCAAACGGCAAAGAAAAGUUCCUAGGGAGAGAGCUUAGCGCCCAAGCAGCCUGCGCUAGUGCCGAGACAGAACAGGAGAGCAGCAGACAGUGCAGGCCGGGCCAGCCUGCAGGCGGUGGCUGCGGCGGCGCUGGUAGGGCAGACCCGGGCUCCGGAAGGCUCCAGGUCCGGGGGUGGCCGCCGGCCUUGGGCACAGUGCCGGCUUUCGCACCCCUCCCCACGACCGCGAGCAGUGGGCGGAGAGAUUAGAGCAAAGGAAAAGACGGACAAUGCCUGGCCGGGCCGGCGACCUCCGUGCGGCCCCCGCCGGCCCGUCCCUACUCGGGCGGCCAGCUACCGGGCUAAGUUUCCUAAGCCCUGCCUCCAGCCCCGGCGGCGAAAGCUCGGCCGCCGCCUUCCUCCCAGCCGGGCGGUUCCCGCGAGUCUGCGAGGAGGAGGCAGCGUGCGAGCCGAGCCGGGCGCGCAAGGAGGCGGCGCGCGAGGUAAGCGGACGCGCGGGGAGCCGGCGGCGCGCGCCGAAUGAGGCCGGGCGCGCGCGGGGGGACCCGGCACGAAGAGGAAGGAGCGCGGUGGGGAGUUGGGAGCGCGGGGCUCCCCCGGGACCCCCCGCAGCUCCGACGGGGUUUCAGUUGACUCGGACUGCACCGCAGCGAGAGUCCGUUAGGAGUCUCCGCCUGGGCGCGCAGCUGGCCGACCAUCCCGGCCCGCCUCCCCCUCGCUCCCACCAGGAAGGGCAGCCGGGCGAGAGCCAGUGACCUCUCCUCCCGCCAGUGACAGGAACAAGUCUGGCACCAUCAAAGAAGAGCAGAAAUCCAAGUUGCCAAGUCAGAGUGAAGAAGAGAGAGAAGGACAAGUAUGAGCUAAAAAUGAAACUGUCAUAAGAAAGAAAAGGGGAUGGCUAUUCAGAGACUUUCUUUUCAAAUAUUCGUUGCAGAGAAAAGAUUCCCUACAACAGAGAGUCACCUAGACAUGAAAGAAAUUCUGCUUCUACAACAAUUGACAAAAAGUAGACAGAUUCAUGUUUGACCACACUGGAUACUGGAUCAAGAUGCUGGAGAUAGACCUGAGAUUAAAGAACAAAGAAAUCUUAUCCACUAAACAGUAUUGAUUAGAACCAAAAUAUUUUGUCAUUGGAGGCCUUAUGUUACCCUUAAAAAUAAACUUUCGGAUAUUUUGGAUUUUUUUUUUUUGGCUUUUUGUGUGUGUGUGUGUGUGUGUGUGUGUGUGUGUGUGUGUGUGUUACUGGAAACUGAACCCAGGUGCACUCUACCACUGAGCUACAUCCCUAGAUUUUUCAUUCUUAAAUGGCCUUGCUAACUUGCACAAGCUGGCCUUGAAAUUGUAAUCCACCUGCCUUAACCUUCUGAGUAGCUCAUUACAGACAUUUACCACUGCUUCCAGCUUG
Molecule: long non-coding RNA, 1446 nt
Filed under: Heterocephalus glaber (naked mole-rat)
Lineage: Eukaryota; Metazoa; Chordata; Mammalia; Rodentia; Bathyergidae
Description: lncRNA (ENSHGLG00000043716.1)
Source: RNAcentral